RNAcentral lists this ribosomal RNA (371 nucleotides) under uncultured organism. Its description in RNAcentral is "partial 16S ribosomal RNA". It matches the Rfam family "Bacterial small subunit ribosomal RNA", at positions 527 to 896 of the family's 1533-position model. The record is from RNAcentral.
GAGGGGUGCAAGCGUUAUUCGGAAUCAUUGGGCGUAAAGGGUGUGUAGACGGCGCAUUAAGUCAAUUGUUAAAUCCUUCGGCCUAACCGAAGGUCUGCAGUAGAAACUGAUGCGAUAGAGGAUGGAAGAGAGAAGUGGAAUUCUCGGAGUAGCGGUAAAAUGCGUAGAUCUCGAGAGGAACACCAAUGGCGAAGGCAGCUUCUUGGUCCAUUUCUGACGUUGAGACACGAAAGCGUGGGGGAGCAAACAGGAUUAGAUACCCUGGUAGUCCACGCCGUAAACGAUGAUCACUAGACGUUAGCUCUGUUUACAGAGUUAGUGUCGCAGCUAACGCGUUAAGUGAUCCGCCUGGGACUACGGUCGCAAGACUA